This is a long non-coding RNA of Mesocricetus auratus (golden hamster), 837 nucleotides long. RefSeq lists it as uncharacterized. NCBI's taxonomy places the organism in Eukaryota, Metazoa, Chordata, Mammalia, Rodentia, Cricetidae. The transcript is spliced from 2 exons. The record is from RefSeq and is a predicted model, not a curated record.
UCCUGCUGUGCGGGGCCUCCUUCCGGCCCGGCGCGCCCGAGAGGUGACCUCGCGGGUGUGCUCCCCUGCCUGGAGCAGGGAGGAGCUCGCAGCCGCCUGUAGGUGUGGCGGAGCUUUGUCCCGCUGUCCGUCGGUCCCUGCAAGUCCCCUGAUCGAGGCUUGUAGGAGAGGCUGGGGGCAUUCCUUCAUUCCGGCACCAGCACAAAAAGUAGAACAGCCCUGUCUUCCUGGGGCUUUGGUUCCAGUUGCAGUGAAACAUCCAAUAAAGUCGAACCAGUGGGCUGUCUGAUGAAUACAAGGAGAGGACAAACGGGAGAGAGUAGUCGAGACGGUGACUUAAGACCUGAAGGAAGGGACUUAGUGGUAAAGUACUGCCCAGCACCACAUAAAACCGGGCUUGGCCAUGCAAACCGUAACUCUAGAAGGUGAUGAAGAAACAUCAGGAUUCAAGGUCAGUCUCAGCUACAUAGCGAUUUUGAGGUCAAGAUGGGCUGCAUAAAAUCCUGUCUCAAAAAGACCCGAAGGAAGCAGAGGAACGUACCACGGGAAUGCUUUUGGUCGAGCAUGCUGUCCAGUGUGACUAGCGUGGAGAAAAGAAUGGAGUUACGAUGAUAAUGGCUCAUAAUUUUGAGCAGCUUUCAGUGUGGACUGAAAACCAGUGGCUCUCCAGGAAUCUUCCAGGGUUUUAACACCAAGUUUGGACUACUGAGGCAUCCAACCUCAUGGAUUGAGUAGCUCUGGGAUUCUCAGCCUUUCCAGUAUGGGCACAGACAUUGUUGGAUUACUCAAACCGUAUUGUGUAAGACACCAAUGUAAUAAAUCUCCUUUUAACAUUCA